RNAcentral lists this long non-coding RNA (2863 nucleotides) under Vigna radiata. Its description in RNAcentral is "long non-coding RNA (VRAD_LNC009759)". Lineage: Eukaryota; Viridiplantae; Streptophyta; Magnoliopsida; Fabales; Fabaceae. The record is from RNAcentral.
UUAUAUCUUUUUUAGUUAUUUGUUAAAUUUGUGGUGGAUAUUUUCCUUGUGGGUAUAUUUGUGUUUUUUAAGGAAGAUUUUUAUGAUUUGUGUAGGGUUUGGUUGAAAGGGAAAAAUUGGACUUUUUUGAUCUUCCUAUUUAUGGUCCAACUCCUGAAGAAGUUAGAAAAGUGAUUGAAGAAGAAGGAUCUUUUAGGCUUAAAACGUUGAAGACAGUUAAAAUAGGUUGGGAUGGAAACCUUCAAGAGGAUGUUGAUGAUGCUACAGUUGAUAGCAAAACAAGAGCACUGAUCGUAGCUAAGUCAAUAAGAGCAGUUUUUGAACCUCUUUUAUCGGCCAACUUUGGUGAAGUUAUCAUGGAUGAAUUGUUUUCCAGAUUUGCAAUGAUAGUUUCCCAACUCAUUGAUACUGAGUUGGAAUCGUUGGAGUAUGCCAAUGUGAUAGUGUCUAUGACAAAAGAUUCUUAGAAUAUGUUCCGGCUUCGUCAUGCAUAAUCGAAGUUUAUGCAUGAUUUGAUUUCGUGGGACUUGGUUAAUGAUAUUUUUCACUAAUUAUAUCAGGUUGAAUUUUCUUGUAAGAAUAAGGAAGUUUUUCCUUGUGUAUUUGUACGUCUACUUUAAAUCUUGCCCAACAACACUGUUUUAGUUUCAUUGCUAAAAAAAUUAAUGUGGUGGAGACUAUUUGUCACAAAACACAAAAUAUCAUUACAAAAUAUUAAUGAUGAAAUUUGUUAUAAAAACCAAUGUUAUCAAAAUAAGGUGUCAUAAAACUUUUUGUUACGUUUGUUAAAAAGAACAACUUCAAAAAUAUUGCCUCUUACAUAGUUUAGAAAUUAUAGAAAAAAUAUUAAAGUAUUAAAAAUAUCAAAGAGACAAAUAAAAACCUUCAAUAUACUCAAAGGUUUAAUGAACUACAAGCAAAAGAAUAAUUAAUGCUAAAAUAAUAAGUUAAUAAUUCUUCAUUAUAUUUAUCUUAUUAUUAUUACUUAAUAAUUAGAACCGAACUCAUUUUUAAAAUCAUAAAAUUGGCCUUUAGAAAUCAAUUAGCUCUUGGCACCAUAAAAUAAGAGAUUGCAAGAGACCCCAAAGCAACGCUUAGCCUUAAAACAUUCUGAUUAAAAAAUCAUAGGAUUUGUUCCUUGAAAAUAAAAGCUUGAAAAUAAAAGCUUGAUUUUAAGUGAUUUUAGUAACCUGUACGUGAAGUAACCCUCUACCUUAGCGUAAAAGUUGAACAAAUAAUUCUAUCAUUAGCGAUUAUAUAGUUUUACAUUCCAUAUAUCCAUAGAAAAUUAUAGUCAUUAUAUAGAAUUUUGCACGCCUGCAUCCAUAAAAAAUUGUGCUUAUAACUUUUUGCAGGUGCGAUGUCGAUAUAGACGUCGGUUAAAUUCAAAGUCCGACGUCUACAAAGAUAUCUGACAAUGCGCUAACCGACGUCUAAUCUUAUUUUAGACGUCGGUUUGUAAAACUUGGGACGUCUAUAAAACCGUCAAACAUUGCAUUAACUGACGUCUUUGGGACAUCAUAGACGUCCAUUUGUACAUUAACCGACGUCUAUGAAGUGAUCGUUGUGUUUUGGUGCACUUUUUGUCGUGUCUUGGGGUAGCGUAGUAGCACCUCCUUCCUUUGUUAGUUUCUUCAUAAGAAAAAGUUGUUUCUUUUAAAUUUCUCAUGAAAUUUCAACCCAAAGACAAACUUGGAUCGUUGCCUAGGUCCAUUCCGACCGCCGUAUACUUUCUCACUGGAGGUCGGAAUGGACAUAGGCAACAACCCAAGUUCAUCCUUGGAUUGAAAUGCCAUGCGAAAUCCAAAAAACGCAAGUUUUCCUUACGAGGAAACUAGCAAAGGGAGAAGGUGCACUAUGCUACACAAAGACACAACAAAAAAACCGCACCAAAACACAACAAAACCUCAUUUUAAUCGGUUCAAAUGAGAGAUAAUACAUCAAAGAUUACUUUAAUCGGAGUAAAAACAACUUUAAGUAGUUAAAAGGAGAAGAAACUUACUUGGAAAUGCAGAGUAGCAGAGAGAAAAGGCAAAGACGAUCAAAGUGUUGGUCCGCAAACCACUGGUUCGCAGUGUUAUUUAACAAGAAAUUAGAUGUCUAUUGUACACAUAAUCGACGUCUAAAAUAGCAAAUACGUCGAACGCCUGACUAAUAUAACGUCCAUUCAAAUUAAAAAUUAAUAUUUCUGUUGUAUAUAGACGUCGGCUUGGCGGCAUGAGACGUCUCGUGGGCGGAAACGAAUGACUUUUCCCAUACCUGGUAGGAUUAUAGACGUCGGUACCUGAGGCAAUAGACCUCUAGAAUUGUAUAUAGACGUCAAUGUGACGGGAUCUGACGUCUAUAGGACUGAAAAGAGUGACUAUUCACCUGCUUGGCAGACAUAUAGACGUCAACUACAAUGAGCCCGACUUCUAUAUGUCUAACAGGUUGGUGAGUCGAUAAAUUGUAAAAUGUUUUGUGGUCAAUUUAAAACAUGAUUGUUCUAUGUAGAAGAAUAAGCUUUCGAAUAUAUUGUACGUAUUUUAUAGCUUUUUUAGUUAUUUGUUAAAUUUUUGGUUGAUAUUUUCCUUGUGGGUAUAUUUGUGCUUUCUAAGGAAGAUUUUUAGAUUUUUAUGAUUUUUGUGGGUAUAUUUUCCUUGUGGGUUUGGUUGAAAAGGAAAAAUUGGACUUUUUUUAUCUUCCUAUUUAUGGUCCAACUCCUGAAGAAGUUAGAAAAGUCAUUGAAGAAGAAGGAUCUUUUAGGCUUAAAACAUUAAAGACAGUUAAAAUAGGUUGGGAUGGAAACCUUCAAGAGGAUGUUGAUGAUGCUACAGUUGAUAGCAAAACAAGAGCAAUGAUCGUAGCUAAGUCAAUAAGAGCA